UCCCCGUUAACCGGGGCAGUCUCGCCUGAAAAUCCAACAGACAAUAAGGGUUGCGCUCGUUGCGGGACUUAACCCAACAUCUCACGACACGAGCUGACGACGGCCAUGCAACACCUGUCACCGAGUUCCCGAAGGCACAGCCCAAUUUCUUGGGCCUUCUCGGGAUGUCAAGCCUUGGUAAGGUUCUUCGCGUACCUUCGAAUUAAACCACAUGCUCCACCGCUUGUGCGUCUCCCCGUCAAUUCCUUUGAGUUUUAGUCUUGCGACCGUACUCCCCAGGCGGAAUACUUAACGCGUUAGCUUCUUAGCACAGAGGGUCGAUACUCCAUACUAACAGUAUUCAUCGUUUACGGCGUGGACUAC
This 363-nucleotide unclassified non-coding RNA is filed under the name uncultured bacterium. RNAcentral describes it as "contains 16S-23S intergenic spacer region". The record is from RNAcentral.